This 895-nucleotide ribosomal RNA is filed under the name uncultured bacterium. Its description in RNAcentral is "bacterial SSU rRNA". It matches the Rfam family "Bacterial small subunit ribosomal RNA", at positions 8 to 907 of the family's 1533-position model. The record is from RNAcentral.
AGAGUUUGAUCCUGGCUCAGGACGAACGCUGGCGGCGUGCUUAACACAUGCAAGUCGAACGGGAGUUACGAGGAAGCUUGCGAAUUGUAACUUUAGUGGCGGACGGGUGAGUAACGCGUGGAUAACCUGCCUACAUGACCGGGACAACACCGGGAAACUGGUGCUAAUACCGGAUACGCUCUUGACGGCACAUGUUAUUGAGAGGAAAGGAGCAAUCCGCAGGUAGAUGGGUCCGCGUCCCAUUAGCUAGUUGGCGGUGUAAAAGACCACCAAGGCGACGAUGGGUAGCCGGCCUGAGAGGGUGGACGGCCACACUGGAACUGAGACACGGUCCAGACUCCUACGGGAGGCAGCAGUGGGGAAUCUUCCGCAAUGGGCGCAAGCCUGACGGAGCAACGCCGCGUGAGUGAAGAAGGCUUUCGGGUUGUAAAACUCUGUCUUCAGGGAAGAAAAAAAUGACGGUACCUGAGGAGGAAGCCCCGGCUAACUACGUGCCAGCAGCCGCGGUAAAACGUAGGGGGCGAGCGUUGUCCGGAAUUACUGGGCGUAAAGGGCGCGUAGGCGGUUUCUUAAGUCAGAGGUGAAAACUACCGGCUCAACCGGUAGCCUGCCUUUGAAACUGGGAGACUUGAGGGCAGGAGAGGGGAGUGGAAUUCCCAGUGUAGCGGUGAAAUGCGUAGAUAUUGGGAGGAACACCAGUGGCGAAGGCGGCUCUCUGGCCUGUUUCUGACGCUGAGGCGCGAAAGCGUGGGGAGCAAACGGGAUUAGAUACCCCGGUAGUCCACGCCGUAAACGAUGGGUGCUAGGUGUAGGAGGUAUCGACCCCUUCUGUGCCGUAGUUAACACAAUAAGCACCCCGCCUGGGGAGUACGGCCGCAAGGUUGAAACUCAAGGA